AACGAACGCUGGCGGCAUGCCUAACACAUGCAAGUCGAACGAGACCUUCGGGUCUAGUGGCGCACGGGUGCGUAACGCGUGGGAACCUGCCCUUAGGUUCGGAAUAACUCCCCGAAAGGGGUGCUAAUACCGGAUAAUGUCUUCGGACCAAAGAUUUAUCGCCUUUGGAUGGGCCCGCGUUGGAUUAGCUAGUUGGUAGGGUAAAAGCCUACCAAGGCGACGAUCCAUAGCUGGUCUGAGAGGAUGAUCAGCCACACUGGGACUGAGACACGGCCCAGACCCCUCGGGGAGGCAGCAGGGGGGAAUAUGGGACAAUGGGCGAAAGCCUGAUCCAGCAAUGCCGGGGGAGUGAUGAAGGCCUUGGGGUUGUAAAGCUCUUUUACCCGGGAUGAUAAUGACAGUCCCGGGAGAAUAAGCCCCGGCUAACUCCGU
This 432-nucleotide ribosomal RNA is filed under the name uncultured bacterium. RNAcentral's name for it is "partial 16S ribosomal RNA". It matches the Rfam family "Bacterial small subunit ribosomal RNA", at positions 29 to 506 of the family's 1533-position model. The record is from RNAcentral.